UGGAAGAACCAUGGUAGCUUGUCAG
This 25-nucleotide unclassified non-coding RNA is filed under the name Mus musculus (house mouse). Its description in RNAcentral is "oocyte_clustered_small_RNA8712". The record is from RNAcentral. Lineage: Eukaryota; Metazoa; Chordata; Mammalia; Rodentia; Muridae.